Molecule: ribosomal RNA, 322 nt
Filed under: uncultured bacterium
Lineage: Bacteria
Description: bacterial SSU rRNA
Rfam family: Bacterial small subunit ribosomal RNA
Source: RNAcentral
GACGAACGACUGGCGGCGUGCCUAAUAACAUGCAAGUACGAGCGAGCUGAAUUCAAAGAUCCCUUCGGGUGAUUGUUGGACGCUAGCGGCGGAUGGGUGAGUAACAACGUGGGCAAUCUGCCCUAAAAGGACUGGGAUACCACUUGGAAACAGGUGCUAAUACCGGAUAACAACAAUGAAUCGCAUGAUUCAAGUUUGAAAGGCGGCGCAAGCUGUCACUUUAGGAUGAGCCCGCGGCGCAUUAGCUAGUUGGUGGGGUAAAGGCCUACCAAGGCAAUGAUGCGUAGCCGAGUUGAGAGGACUGAUCGGCCACAUCGGGACU